GUGUAAACGUAUUAAAAGAGUUUAUGACACUCCAAGUAGUUAACAAAACAAGUCAUCUUUUAACAUUACCAUAAAUAAUCAAUUUUUUUCUGCCAAUGCUUUUAAUUUAUCAUUACAAAUAUGAGAAGAGUAUGUUUAAACCAGAGUUACAGAUAUUUCUGUUUCCAUUUGACUGGCACUACUAUCUGAGCCAUGGUGAAGUUCAUACAUUCUCCUCUCCGGUUUAGAAAAUAUCAAUGAUUUGAGCAUAUUAUUGGCUUGAUUUCUAAAAGUUUGAGAAAAAAGAAUACAAAUGUAAAAUACAAUAACAGUAUUUGUCCACGCCAAAUAGUGUCCGAUAACUCUAGCUUUUGCCAACUGCAAUCGAAAGUGAGGUUUUUGCAGCCAUGAUGGCGGAUAAGUCUGAUCAACGAUAUUUAUUACAGUCGGUGGCAGCACUAACAAAAAGUAAAACAUAGAUAAAACUAGAGUGGCAUGCGUCAGUACCAUCGGUGUCAUUUCGUUGUCAGUUUCUUCCGGUACAUUUCGUAUACAUAGUCCCGUGAAUAUUAAUAUAUCAAAAGUUAUGAUUAAAGCUAAUGGAAUGAAUGAAUAACAACUCGCAGACAUCCAAGGCCAGAUAACAACAUGUAAAUCAUCAUCAUUAUGAAAGAAAAAACAACCAUCCAUCAGUUCAUAUGUCCACAUUGCAUGUACACUUACAACAAUAAGCCCAAUGAAGAUUGAUAUAGUAGCAAAUUUGGCCAUGAACAAAGUACAUAUCUUUGAUGAUUUUUUCCUAUGCCAGAUCGUUAUAUAGCGGUCGAUUGUCAUAGAAACAACAAACCAAAUGCUAGAAUAUGUUACCAACUCGACUAAAAAAUUGCCAUAAUCUACAUAUCCAGUCUGCCUGACUGUCUAUAGAUCGUGUUUCUGCUACUAACGCCACCCACUCUGAUCCCAAAAAUAAAUAUAGCGUCAAC
RNAcentral lists this long non-coding RNA (962 nucleotides) under Mytilus galloprovincialis (Mediterranean mussel). Lineage: Eukaryota; Metazoa; Mollusca; Bivalvia; Mytilida; Mytilidae. The record is from RNAcentral.